Molecule: ribosomal RNA, 120 nt
Filed under: Staphylococcus aureus
Lineage: Bacteria; Bacillati; Bacillota; Bacilli; Caryophanales; Staphylococcaceae
Also listed under: 2 other names
Description: partial 16S ribosomal RNA
Rfam family: Bacterial small subunit ribosomal RNA
Source: RNAcentral
UAACACCCGAAGCCGGUGGAGUAACCUUUUAGGAGCUAGCCGUCGAAGGUGGGACAAAUGAUUGGGGUGAAGUCGUAACAAGGUAGCCGUAUCGGAAGGUGCGGCUGGAUCACCUCCUUU